AAAGUCUUUCAGAGGCCGGACGCUGGCACUGGACGGAGUAGGGAACCCUAGCCGUUAUCCCACCAAAGGGUCCCAGCGCCUAGAGGGGCUGCGGAAAGCUCCUACAAUACGAGGAGCCCUUGGAGCCCAGAGCGGGAUCCUGCGAGCCGAGGCCCCGUUCUCUGUUAGGAUCACGGGGACUGCCCCAGGCAGCUGCUGGGCCCGGUCGCGGACCUCGGCCAGAACAUCCUCCCAGAACACAGAGGAAUCUGACAUCAGUGGCCUCCCUUGGUAGAGGUGGGGAGCCGAGGGGCGGCAGUGUGGAAGGGCCAUCGGCCUAGGUCUUUCGUAUCCCCUCCGG
Molecule: long non-coding RNA, 340 nt
Filed under: Homo sapiens (human)
Lineage: Eukaryota; Metazoa; Chordata; Mammalia; Primates; Hominidae
Description: non-protein coding FLG-AS1:19
Source: RNAcentral